GUCUACAGCCAUACCACCCUGAACACGCCUGGUCUUGUCAGAUCAUGGAAGCUUAGCAAGGUCAGGCCUGGUUAGUACUUUGAUGGGAAGAUAUAAUAACAGGAACAUAUGCCUGCUCUUUAUC
Bison bison bison is the source of this 124-nucleotide ribosomal RNA. The record is from Ensembl. Lineage: Eukaryota; Metazoa; Chordata; Mammalia; Artiodactyla; Bovidae.